GAUGAACGCUGGCGGCGUGCUUAACACAUGCAAGUCGAACGAAGCACCUCUCCCGACGAUUGACACAGCUUGCUGUAGAUUGAUUCAUUUGAGGUGACUGAGUGGCGGACGGGUGAGUAACGCGUGGGUAACCUGCCUCAUAGAGGGGGACAACAGUUGGAAACGACUGCUAAUACCGCAUAGUAAGAAGAAUUCGCAUGUUUUCUUCUUGAAAGAUUUAUCGCUAUGAGAUGGACCCGCGUCUGAUUAGCUAGUUGGUAAGGUAACGGCUUACCAAGGCGACGAUCAGUAGCCGGCUUGAGAGAGUGAACGGCCACAUUGGGACUGAGACACGGCCCAAACUCCUACGGGAGGCAGCAGUGGGGAAUAUUGCACAAUGGGGGAAACCCUGAUGCAGCGACGCCGCGUGAGUGAAGAAGUAUUUCGGUAUGUAAAGCUCUAUCAGCAGGGAAGAUAAUGACGGUACCUGACUAAGAAGCCCCGGCUAACUACGUGC
Molecule: ribosomal RNA, 496 nt
Filed under: uncultured bacterium
Lineage: Bacteria
Description: partial 16S ribosomal RNA
Rfam family: Bacterial small subunit ribosomal RNA
Source: RNAcentral